This is an RNA transcript of Carlito syrichta (Philippine tarsier), 1397 nucleotides long. It is a transcript of the gene named G2/mitotic-specific cyclin-B1-like, with no coding region annotated. NCBI's taxonomy places the organism in Eukaryota, Metazoa, Chordata, Mammalia, Primates, Tarsiidae. The transcript has 2 exons. The record is from RefSeq and is a predicted model, not a curated record.
AUGGCACUCCGGGUCACCAGGAACACAAAACUAAGGCGCAGGUCAAUAUGGCAGGCGCAAAUUGUGUGCCCAUGGCGGCUGCUGCAGCCUCCAAGCCCAGGCUGAGGCCAAGAACAGCUCUUAGAGACAUUGGCAACAAAGUCAGUGAACAGCUACUGGUCAAAAUGCCUCUGAAAAAGAAAUUAAAAACUUUAAGCUCCUGGAAAAGGUAUUGCUAAAAACCUCUGGAAAAGCUGCCAGUGUCCGUGUCAGUGCCAGUGCCAGUGCCCGAGCCCGAGCCUGAGUCAGAACCUGAGCCUGUUCAAGAAGAAAAGCUUUCACCUGAGCCUGUUCUGGCUGAUACUUGAUACUCCCUCUCCAAGCCCAAUGGAAACAUCUGGAUGUGGCCCUGCAGAAAAGUAUCUGUGUCAGGCUUUCUCGGAUGUAAUUCUUACUGGGAGUGAUGUGGAUGCAGAAGAUGGGCAUAUCCAAACCUCUGUAGUGAACAUGUGAAAGUUUUUUAUACUUAUUUGAGAUGGCUUAAGGAAGAGCAAGCAAUCAGAUCAAAAUACCUACUGGGCCAGGAAGUCACUGGAAACAUGUGAGUCAUCCUAAUUGAUGGUUAGUACAGGUUCAAAUGAGAUUCGGGUUGCUGCAGGAGACCAUGUACAAGACUGUUUCUGUUAUCGAUCGCUUCAUGCAGAAUAAUCGUGUGCCCAAGAAGAUGCUGCAGCUGGUUGGUAUCACUGCCAUGUUGUUGCAAGCAAAUGUGAAGAAAUGUAUCCUCCAGAAAUUGGUGACUUUGCUUUGGUGACUGACAACACUUACACUAAGCAUCAAAUCAGACAGAUGGAAAUGAAGAUUCUGAAAGCUUUAAACUUUGGUCUGGGUCAGCUUCUACUCCUACACUUCCUUCGGAGAAUGUCUAAGAUUGGAGAGGCUGAUAUUGAGCAACAUAUUUUGGCCAAAUACCUGAUGGAACUGACUAUGCUAGAUGAUGAUAUGGUGCACUUUCCUCCUUCCCAAACUGCAGUAGGAACUUUUUGCUUAGCACAGAAAAUUCUGGAUAAUGGUGAAUGGACCCCAACUCUACAGCAUUACCUGACAUACACUGAAGAACUCCUUCUUCCUGUUAUGCAGCAUCUGGCUAAGAACACAGUCAUGGUAAAUCGUGGGCUUACAAAGCACAGGACCAUCAAGAACAAGUAUGCCAUAUCUAAGCAUGCUAAGAUCAGCACUCUAGCACAGCUGAACUCUGCACUAGUUCACGAGUUAGCCAAGGCUGUGGCAAAGGUGUAACAUGUAAACUUGAGUUGGAGUAUUAUAUCUGCAAAUAAAAUUGGCACCAUGUGCCAUCUGUACAUAAUAAUGUUGCAUUUACUCACUUUUAAUAAAGUCUGUGGUCCUUUUUACUCUUU